RNAcentral lists this ribosomal RNA (450 nucleotides) under uncultured bacterium. Its description in RNAcentral is "partial 16S ribosomal RNA". It matches the Rfam family "Bacterial small subunit ribosomal RNA", at positions 354 to 796 of the family's 1533-position model. The record is from RNAcentral.
GUGGGGAAUAUUGGACAAUGGGCGAAAGCCUGAUCCAGCCAUGCCGCGUGUGUGAAGAAGGUCUUCGGAUUGUAAAGCACUUUAAGUUGGGAGGAAGGGCAGUAAGUUAAUACCUUGCUGUUUUGACGUUACCGACAGAAUAAGCACCGGCUAACUUCGUGCCAGCAGCCGCGGUAAUACGAAGGGUGCAAGCGUUAAUCGGAAUUACUGGGCGUAAAGCGCGCGUAGGUGGUUUUGUAAGUUGGAGGUGAAAUCCCCGGGCUCAACCGGGGAAGUGCCUCCAAAACUGCAUGACUAGAGUACGGUAGAGGGUAGUGGAAUUUCCUGUGUAGCGGUGAAAUGCGUAGAUAUAGGAAGGAACACCAGUGGCGAAGGCGACUACCUGGACUGAUACUGACACUGAGGUGCGAAAGCGUGGGGAGCAAACAGGAUUAGAAACCCUUGUAGUCC